Molecule: long non-coding RNA, 719 nt
Filed under: Olea europaea subsp. europaea
Lineage: Eukaryota; Viridiplantae; Streptophyta; Magnoliopsida; Lamiales; Oleaceae
Source: RNAcentral
GUUUGGAAUAAUAUAAAAUUUAUAUACAGAACAAUUUAGAAUGAACAAAUGAAUGAAAAACAUUAAUUUAUAUACAGAACAAUUUAGAAUGAACAACUUAUACCAGAACAAAUGAACAAUUCCAGUCACUGCAAACCACCAUAACCAAGGAGAAAUCAAACUCAGAAAAAAAUAAUAACAGAUCUAUAGUGAUGCUGUAUUGUCGCCACAACAAAUGAACAGAUUAAGAUCUCUAUAAAUCUGCAGUGUCACUACUUCGAAGUGACAAUAAGAACCCAGCGACUCAAUGGCUGCGCGUGGUGAGUAUGUUGGCGCUUCAACGAUUGUGGGUGGGGGUAUGGUGACACCACACGAUGCAGUUGGUGGAUUACUAUGGUAGCACCGUGAGAUGCGGUUGGCGGAUUAUGGCUGCUAUGGGUAUGGUUUGAGUGUGGGUAAUGAUGAAUUUAUAAGAUUGCGAUUAGGGAUAAUAUGGUGUCGGAGUUUGGUGUGUGGUGGUGUUAUGGGGUACUAUGGUGGUUGUUUUACAGUUGCUGUAGUGUGUGGUGGUGUUGUGGUUAUUGUUAUGGUGGUUUUGCAUUGUUGUGAUAAGUGGUGGUGGUUUUGCACGCUGUGGUGAGAUAGUUGUAAUGUUAGUGGGGGUCAUAGCGACAGUGACGACGGUGCAAUUGUCGUGGGUAGGUGUGGGAGGCGAAGGGAUGGGAUGAGAUUGGAUGGGG